This is a long non-coding RNA of Pangasianodon hypophthalmus (striped catfish), 1063 nucleotides long. RefSeq lists it as uncharacterized. The transcript is spliced from 3 exons. The record is from RefSeq and is a predicted model, not a curated record. NCBI's taxonomy places the organism in Eukaryota, Metazoa, Chordata, Actinopteri, Siluriformes, Pangasiidae.
AGGACUGCACUGGACAUUCUUCACUGUGCUUUCAUUUGUGGCUACAAAAGGGCAAAACUCCCCAAAAUAGUGCACUGUGUAGAGAAUAGGGUGUUAUUCAUAGAGACCGUGUACUCAUGGAAUUCCCACAAUGCUUUGCGAUAGGUUGGUGUCCAAAUUAUGUACGAUAGCUUGUACAAAACACCCAUGAUGUACUUUGUGUAGGGAACAGGGAGUAGAGCACCGUUUUGAGCACGGGGUAAGAGUUACUGGAACAUGCGGACACUUUCGAGGGGAAAUGUCACUUUAACGCCACAUUUUGUUGGGAUAGCGAUAAACAUUUAGACAGAACAUUAAAUAGUAAUGGAUAUAUUAUUAUUAUUAUUAUUAUUAUUUAAGGAAUUUAAUCCCCCCUUGUAGUUCCCAGUACAAACCCCACUUUCUAGUGCUGUUUGCUAAGUUUGCCGUUUUGUUAGCAAAACAAAAAAAAAUUAGCAAAGAGGACCAGAAACGUUUCAGAGAAAUGCUGUAGCACUUUAUCACCCCCAUCUGUCUUCUGUAGCUGCUCUAUCCUGGUCAGGGUUGUGGUGGAUCUGGAGCCUAUCCUGGGAACACUGGGCUAGAGGCAGGAAUACACCCUGAAUGGGACGCCAGUCCAUCACAGUGCACCAGACACACACAUGCAUUAUAUGGCUAAAGUUGCAUCUCCUCUAGCCUCUCUGUCAGCAAGUGGGCUGUGUGUGCGGCUCUUUGGAACUUCUUCCAUAACGACCACACCGAUGCCCUCCUCCUCCUCAUCCUCCUCAUCCUCUGGAUGCAGCUGGCCCCUGGUGGAUCUCGGUCCUGCGCUGGUCGGCUCCAGAGGGGCUUCAAGCACAUCUGGUUCUCGUACGCGAGGCUUGCGCCCACGGCGAGAUGGGAUGCCAUUGCAGCCAUCCUUCUUCAAGUGGCGGUGGAGAUGGUCCGAGCGAACAAAGGUCUUAAAGCAGCUGGAGCACUGAUAGGGGCGUAAGCCUGUGUGUACACGCAUGUGAUUCUUCAGGUCAUAGUUGUGAGCAAAGGCGGCACCACACUGUGUGCACAG